This 484-nucleotide ribosomal RNA is filed under the name uncultured bacterium. RNAcentral describes it as "partial 16S ribosomal RNA". It matches the Rfam family "Bacterial small subunit ribosomal RNA", at positions 30 to 507 of the family's 1533-position model. The record is from RNAcentral.
AUUGAACGCUGGCGGCAGGCCUAACACAUGCAAGUCGAGCGGAUGAAGGGAGCUUGCUCCUGGAUUCAGCGGCGGACGGGUGAGUAAUGCCUAGGAAUCUGCCUGGUAGUGGGGGAUAACGUCCGGAAACGGGCGCUAAUACCGCAUACGUCAUGAGGGAGAAAGUGGGGGAUCUUCGGACCUCACGCUAUCAGAUGAGCCUAGGUCGGAUUAGCUAGUUGGUGGGGUAAAGGCCUACCAAGGCGACGAUCCGUAACUGGUCUGAGAGGAUGAUCAGUCACACUGGAACUGAGACACGGUCCAGACUCCUACGGGAGGCAGCAGUGGGGAAUAUUGGACAAUGGGCGAAAGCCUGAUCCAGCCAUGCCGCGUGUGUGAAGAAGGUCUUCGGAUUGUAAAGCACUUUAAGUUGGGAGGAAAGGCAGUAAGUUAAUACCUUGCUGUUUUGACGUUACCAACAGAAUAAGCACCGGCUAACUUCGUG